Molecule: ribosomal RNA, 253 nt
Filed under: uncultured bacterium
Lineage: Bacteria
Description: partial 16S ribosomal RNA
Rfam family: Bacterial small subunit ribosomal RNA
Source: RNAcentral
UACGUAGGGGGCUAGCGUUGUCCGGAUUUAUUGGGCGUAAAGAGCGUGUAGGCGGCCAGGUAGGUCUGCUGUGAAAACUCGAGGCUCAACCUCGAGACGUCGGCGGAAACCAUCUGGCUAGAGUCCGGAAGAGGAGAGUGGAAUUCCUGGUGUAGCGGUGAAAUGCGCAGAUAUCAGGAAGAACACCCGUGGCGAAGGCGGCUCUCUAGGACGGUACUGACGCUGAGACGCGAAAGCGUGGGGAGCGAACAGG